GACGAACGCUGGCGGCAUGCCUAACACAUGCAAGUCGAACGGAGAUUAUUUCGGUAAUCUUAGUGGCGAACGGGUGAGUAACGCGUGGGCAACCUGCCCUCUAGAUGGGGACAACAUCCCGAAAGGGGUGCUAAUACCGAAUGUGACAGCAAUCUCGCAUGAGGAUGCUGUGAAAGAUGGCCUCUAUUUAUAAGCUAUCGCUAGAGGAUGGGCCUGCGUCUGAUUAGCUAGUUGGUGGGGCAACGGCCUACCAAGGCGAUGAUCAGUAGCCGAUCUGAGAGGAUGAACGGCCACAUUGGGACUGAGACACGGCCCAGACUCCUACGGGAGGCAGCAGUGGGGAAUCUUCCGCAAUGGGCGAAAGCCUGACGGAGCAAUGCCGCGUGAGUGAUGAAGGAAUUCGUUCCGUAAAGCUCUUUUGUUUAUGACGAAUGUGCAGAUUGUGAACAAUGAUCUGUAAUGACGGUAGUAAACGAAUAAGCCACGGCUAACUACGUG
This 498-nucleotide ribosomal RNA is filed under the name uncultured bacterium. RNAcentral's name for it is "partial 16S ribosomal RNA". It matches the Rfam family "Bacterial small subunit ribosomal RNA", at positions 28 to 507 of the family's 1533-position model. The record is from RNAcentral.